GAUCCUGGCUCAGGAUGAACGCUAGCUACAGGCUUAACACAUGCAAGUCGAGGGGCAGCAUUUCAGUUUGCUUGCAAACUGGAGAUGGCGACCGGCGCACGGGUGAGUAACACGUAUCCAACCUGCCGAUAACUCGAGGAUAGCCUUUCGAAAGAAAGAUUAAUACCCGAUAGUAUAAUUAGACCGCAUGGUCUUAUUAUUAAAGAAUUUCGGUUAUCGAUAGGGAUGCGUUCCAUUAGG
Molecule: ribosomal RNA, 240 nt
Filed under: uncultured bacterium
Lineage: Bacteria
Description: partial 16S ribosomal RNA
Rfam family: Bacterial small subunit ribosomal RNA
Source: RNAcentral